This 1146-nucleotide long non-coding RNA is filed under the name Fukomys damarensis (Damara mole-rat). Its description in RNAcentral is "lncRNA (ENSFDAG00000024691.1)". Lineage: Eukaryota; Metazoa; Chordata; Mammalia; Rodentia; Bathyergidae. The record is from RNAcentral.
CCCAGCCUAGCCAGUCCCCUCCUGGAGCGGCGCGAAGACUCUCUGGUCCCCAACCGCCGCCUCCGCUCCGGAACUCGGAGUCCUGGUGGUCUUGCUGCAUUUUUAGCCAAGCGCAGAUUUUGGCACUACCACCCCCUCCCCGGCCCCGCAGCCACUUAUGAUGACUCGCUGGAUCGUGGGGAUGGGGUCUUGCCUCCGCGAGCGCGCGUGUGAGCCAGCUUGUGUGCAGGUCGCGGUGCCCACGCGCAGAGCUCUGAAGCAGCCUUCCAUGCUUCGUGGUUAUUUCGGUUUCCAGGGAAACGAGGUUCGUUGCCGGGAGCCAGUGCAGUAUCCUCUUCUCUGUACUCAGACGCUAAGACGCAUGUAGCACCUCCCUGCGCAUCGGUGCUACUCUGGACAAGGACGGUCCCACAGUCAGGACCCCAGAAGCUCCACAUCGCGGUCCCUUGGGGUUUACAGCCUCCCUGUCGUUAUGUUCACCCACCUCACUCUGCCUGGGCCUUUUUGCAAUCUCCUUGCUCCUGGGAUUGUCCCCUACUCCACUCCGGGGCCUCACCUGGCAACCCCCGCCCCCCUUACCUUCAUCCCACUAUAGCUUCCGUUUGGUUGGCCCCAGUUGUUUUAUGUCGCCAUGCUGAGGGUUUUACAGGACUUUCUAUUUCACUCCUUGCAACAAAUUCCAAGCAAGAGGCACUAUUGAUCUAUCAUCUGCAGAUAGAUGGCUUCCCUGGCAACUGCACAGUGAGGUUACUAGAAAGUUUUCCUGCUCCAUCCCCAACCUGAAGCUUGGCCUCAUACAAAACAAUGAGGAGAGGAGAAGCCUUGCUUUGCUUCCUGUCUUAGUGGGAAAUUCUGUGAUCUUUCACCUUUAAACAUAAUGUAAGCCUUCCUUUUUUGUAGGUGUACUUUUGUCAGGUUGAAAUAUAUUUCCAUUUUGCUGAAAGCAUUUAUCGCCAGGAGGUGAUAAAUCUCGUCAAAUGCUUUUUCUGUUUUGCAUCACUGAGAUGGUCACAUUGUUAUCGAAGGAAUCAGUAAGUGACACACAGAGAGACAGCAGAAUGGAAGUAAAAUAACAAAUUUACUUAUUGAUAAGGCUGAUCGUACAUAAGCUGUGCCUGGAUCAAUGAGGCACUGGGUUACAACUCC